UUUGCUGGAACCAUGCCAUAACUUAGUGUCUGCUGCUCUGCCCUGCUGGGUCAAGACAACACAUCCGUCACGUAAAUCACUUAACCAGCACGGACUAUUUGUCUGAACUUCAGAUUCUGGUGAAGAAACUUUCCAGCAGCUUUGUCGGCUGCAGCUCACACUUCCUUGCCACCCACCUCACCUGCACAGACCACGAGCUGCUCUUCUGCCCACCACCAGGUUUGCAACCCAG
This 232-nucleotide long non-coding RNA is filed under the name Gallus gallus (chicken). Lineage: Eukaryota; Metazoa; Chordata; Aves; Galliformes; Phasianidae. The record is from RNAcentral.